UACGGAGGGUGCAAACGUUAUCCGGAAUCAUUGGGCGUAAAGCGUGUGUAGGUGGUUUGGUCAGUCUAUGAUGAAAUCCCGAGGCUUAACCUCGGACCCGUUGUAGAUACUGCCAGACUUGAGGGUAGCAGGGGUACGUGGAACUUUGAGUGUAGGAGUGAAAUCCGUAGAUAUUCAAAGGAACACCAAUGGCGAAGGCAGCGUACUGGGCUACACCUGACACUGAGACACGAAAGCGUGGGGAGCAAACGGG
Molecule: ribosomal RNA, 253 nt
Filed under: uncultured bacterium
Lineage: Bacteria
Description: partial 16S ribosomal RNA
Rfam family: Bacterial small subunit ribosomal RNA
Source: RNAcentral